RNAcentral lists this ribosomal RNA (385 nucleotides) under uncultured eukaryote. RNAcentral's name for it is "SSU rRNA". It matches the Rfam family "Eukaryotic small subunit ribosomal RNA", at positions 587 to 972 of the family's 1831-position model. The record is from RNAcentral.
AGCUCCAAUAGCGUAUAUUAAUGUUGUUGCAGUUAAAAAGCUCGUAGUUGGAUUUCUGGCAGGAGCAACCGGUCACACACUCUGUGUGUGAACUUGUGUUGUCUCUGGCCAUUCUUGGAGAGAUUCUGUUUGGCAUUAAGUUGUCGGGCAGGGGAUACCCAUCGUUUACUGUGAAAAAAAAUAGAGUGUCUAAAGCAGGCUUAUGCUGUUGAAUAUAUAAGUAUGGAAUAAUAAGAUAGGACUUCGGAACUAUUUUGUUGGUUUGUGUUACGAAGUAAUGAUUAAUAGGGACAGUUCGGGGUAUUCGUAUUUCGUUGUCAGAGGUGAAAUUCUUGGAUUUCUGAAAGACAAACUACUGCAAAAGCAUUUACCAAGGAUGUUUUUA